RNAcentral lists this long non-coding RNA (448 nucleotides) under Phaseolus vulgaris (common bean). Its description in RNAcentral is "long non-coding RNA (PVUL_LNC000409)". Lineage: Eukaryota; Viridiplantae; Streptophyta; Magnoliopsida; Fabales; Fabaceae. The record is from RNAcentral.
UUAGAUGACAUAUGUUUGAAUGGUGCCACAUUGUUUAUAUCGUUUGAAAUUCUAGGGUUUUUCCUGGGCUAUAAAUAGGUUUGCCAUUGGGUUUUUUAUGAUUGUGUGAGCUUUGCUGCUGUUUAGAAGGAAGCAUAUUGUCAAUCUUCGUUCAAUUCUUGCGAAGGUAAUGUCUCUUUCAAGUUCUUCUGCUACUGAUGAAUUUUCAAGCGCGGGUGGUGAAUCAACUGGCCGAGUGGUUCGAGAAGAAGUUCCUCCUGAGUCAAAAUCUUCUUCUGCUACUCCAUCUUGUAUGAAUGAUUCAAGUGGAGCUCCUGCUGUUGAUGUUCCACAAGAAUUUGGAUUUGUCGUACCCCAGAAAAACCUUCGUCCUGGUUAUCAAUGGGUCAAUCCUAAAGUCCGAGAGUAUUUCUCGAAGUAUCGUUCUGCUAACGAACUUCGGAGUUUU